CUCAUGACGAACGCUGGCGGCGUGCUUAACACAUGCAAGUCGAACGGAAAGGCCCUGCUUUUGUGGGGUGCUCGAGUGGCGAACGGGUGAGUAACACGUGAGUAACCUGCCCUUGACUUUGGGAUAACUUCAGGAAACUGGGGCUAAUACCGGAUAGGAGCUCCUGCUGCAUGGUGGGGGUUGGAAAGUUUCGGCGGUUGGGGAUGGACUCGCGGCUUAUCAGCUUGUUGGUGGGGUAGUGGCUUACCAAGGCUUUGACGGGUAGCCGGCCUGAGAGGGUGACCGGCCACAUUGGGACUGAGAUACGGCCCAGACUCCUACGGGAGGCAGCAGUGGGGAAUAUUGCACAAUGGGCGGAAGCCUGAUGCAGCAACGCCGCGUGCGGGAUGACGGCCUUCGGGUUGUAAACCGCUUUCGCCUGUGACGAAGCGUGAGUGACGGUAAUGGGUAAAGAAGCACCGGCUAACUACGUGCCAGCAGCCGCGGUGAUACGUAGGGUGCGAGCGUUGUCCGGAUUUAUUGGGCGUAAAGGGCUCGUAGGUGGUUGAUCGCGUCGGAAGUGUAAUCUUGGGGCUUAACCCUGAGCGUGCUUUCGAUACGGGUUGACUUGAGGAAGGUAGGGGAGAAUGGAAUUCCUGGUGGAGCGGUGGAAUGCGCAGAUAUCAGGAGGAACACCAGUGGCGAAGGCGGUUCUCUGGGCCUUUCCUGACGCUGAGGAGCGAAAGCGUGGGGAGCGAACAGGCUUAGAUACCCUGGUAGUCCACGCUGUAAACGGUGGGUACUAGGUGUGGGGUCCAUUCCACGGGUUCCGUGCCGUAGCUAACGCUUUAAGUACCCCGCCUGGGGAGUACGGCCGCAAGGCUAAAACUCAAAGGAAUUGACGGGGCCCCGCACAAGCGGCGGAGCAUGCGGAUUAAUUCGAUGCAACGCGUAGAACCUUACCUGGGUUUGACAUGGAUCGGGAGUGCUCAGAGAUGGGUGUGCCUCUUUUGGGGUCGGUUCACAGGUGGUGCAUGGCUGUCGUCAGCUCGUGUCGUGAGAUGUUGGGUUAAGUCCCGCAACGAGCGCAACCCUUGUUCACUGUUGCCAGCACGUUAUGGUGGGGACUCAGUGGAGACCGCCGGGGUCAACUCGGAGGAAGGUGGGGAUGACGUCAAGUCAUCAUGCCCCUUAUGUCCAGGGCUUCACGCAUGCUACAAUGGCUGGUACAGAGAGUGGCGAGCCUGUGAGGGUGAGCGAAUCUCGGAAAGCCGGUCUCAGUUCGGAUUGGGGUCUGCAACUCGACCUCAUGAAGUCGGAGUCGCUAGUAAUCGCAGAUCAGCAACGCUGCGGUGAAUACGUUCCCGGGGCUUGUACACACCGCCCGUCAAGUCAUGAAAGUUGGUAACACCCGAAGCCGGUGGCCUAACCGUUGUGGGGGAGCCGUCGAAGGUGGGACUGGUG
RNAcentral lists this ribosomal RNA (1443 nucleotides) under uncultured organism. RNAcentral's name for it is "16S ribosomal RNA". It matches the Rfam family "Bacterial small subunit ribosomal RNA". The record is from RNAcentral.